UGAAUAUUGGGGUAAACUUAUCGAAAGGUAAGGACACAAAGCCAUGGGUCUAAGGAUGCAACUGCAUCUAUGAUUGCCAGGUUGCCUGU
RNAcentral lists this non-coding RNA (89 nucleotides) under Propionispora sp. 2/2-37. RNAcentral describes it as "c-di-GMP-I riboswitch aptamer". It matches the Rfam family "c-di-GMP-I riboswitch aptamer". Rfam says of the family: GEMM was predicted in a large-scale screen for bacterial structured RNA regulatory elements. Genes associated with GEMM are involved in a diverse array of functions, including chemotaxis regulation, signal transduction, secretion and chitin. Lineage: Bacteria; Bacillati; Bacillota; Negativicutes; Selenomonadales; Sporomusaceae. The record is from Rfam by way of RNAcentral. RNAcentral also lists the same sequence under 1 other name.